GCUCCUCAGAUGGAGCGCACCACAGAAGUGCCCAGGGCUGCACUGGGCCUGGCGCUGCAGCCAUGUGAUUGGAAAUCUGAGCUGCGGCUCAUUCUGCUUUGUCUGGAAUGAAUGCGAGCAAGCCACAGAGAGCUGGGAACUCUCGGUGACAUGGGAACCCUGCGACCCAUCAUGGUUCCCUUUGGAUGUCCUGUCUACUGCCUGGGUGAAAGGUCGGUGUGUCAAGCACCCCAGGUGAAGGUCCUCUCCACUCAUGGAAAACAGCAGCAGGAUGAUUCCACGUGUCAGCCAUCACUGGACUCGUACUCUCUCUACCGUCACGGUCUAAGCCGAGCACGUAAGGCUGUAUGUGUUUCUGGCUCUUGCAAACUCUUAACUGGAAACUCAACUUCACAUGGUCCGGACUUGGAUGAGCAGAGCUUUAUAACAACCCCCUGUGCUGUGCAGGGCCUUAAACAUAACAGAGGGAGCCCUCUCUCUCCAUAGGAGGGCUUAUAGGGAACAAGGGCCAGGAAGGCUUCUUGUCUUGGUAUUUAGAAGGCAGUGCCCCUGUGCUUACCCAUUCAGAGUAAGGAACCUGGACCCUGGAACAGAGGCUGCGUGCUAACCUGGCCUCUGCCCCUCACCAGCCACGAGCAACCUCUGUACUCUUCCUCAUGCGUAUAACGGAGCAAGUAAUAGUUAUACUUGUUACAGUUCCUACUUCAUGGAACUGUAACAAAGAUUAAAUACACAUGAGGUGCUUAGAAUAAUGCCGGGCAGAUGGUACACGUGUAUUACGUCAAUUGCCUUAUUAUAAAUGAGAAAGUGUUUCAUGCUCGGUGAGACUCAGACAAAGGAGAGCGCAGACCCUCGUGGAAUAGUGGCCCUCAGAGAUGCCCACAUCCUCCUCCCAGGUUACAUGGCAUUGGGCACUGAAGGUUGCAGAAGGAAUUAAGGCUGCUAGUCAGCUGGCUUUAAGAUAGGAAGAUUCUCCUGGGUGCUCCAACUGGACCCAGUGUAAUCACACGAGCCCUUAAAAAGUGGACGAUGAGGGCAGGAGAAAGGCACUGAGAGAGGCGGCUUUGGUGGAGGCCAGGAGCCAAGGAGUGCAGGCGGCCGCUGACCCCUGGAAGCGCAAGACACAGAUGCCCCCCUGGAGCUUACAGAAGGAACCCAGCCCGGCUGUCCCUCGGUUCUCACCCAGUGGGGCUCGCUAAGUUUGGGGUCAUUUGUUACAACGGCAGUAGGAGUCUCAUACACAGAGUUAUCCCCGUGUGUCUGUGUGCUGCCUCUGUGACUAAUCCAAGGUGCUUAGAACUGCCCGUGCGGUGCUUGCAACACCCCCAUAUCCACACACCAUACCAUUCUGUGGAGUGCGCAUGUCUCGAUAAACCCUCCAAGAAUAUGUGAUGCUACUCGCCAUUGGAUCUCUUCUGGAGCUGCUUAGUAAGAAUCUAGGAUUUUCUUCCAACGAUGAAUUUUUUAUCUGGCACCUGUGACCAUAGAAGUGCUGUGAAAUAUUUGGGAGGCUUCCACGGCUUACACUGCUCCCAACCAGCUGAGGGGUCUUAUCAUGUUAUUGAACUACAAAUGUUUAAGGCUGGGCUUCCCUUGCCCCAAAGACUCCAUCUCUGUAAGAAAACUGUCAAUACUAAUAAAACCAUUAGUGCAAAAUGGA
Long non-coding RNA from Hipposideros armiger (great roundleaf bat), 1660 nucleotides. RefSeq lists it as uncharacterized. Lineage: Eukaryota; Metazoa; Chordata; Mammalia; Chiroptera; Hipposideridae. The transcript is spliced from 3 exons. The record is from RefSeq and is a predicted model, not a curated record.